This 1612-nucleotide long non-coding RNA is filed under the name Gallus gallus (chicken). Lineage: Eukaryota; Metazoa; Chordata; Aves; Galliformes; Phasianidae. The record is from RNAcentral.
GGCCCCCCCCUGACCUCUCCCCCCGCAGGAGGUGGACAUCUACACGGUGAAGGUGGAGGAGCUGACGUUCACGGCGCCGUUCUGCCUGCAGGUGAAGCGCAAUGAUUACGUCCACGCGCUCGUCGCCUACUUCAACAUCGAGUUCACGCGCUGCCAUAAGCGCACCGGCUUCUCCACCAGUGAGGGCGGGGCCUGCGAGAGGGGGCGUGGCCGGGGGGCGUGGUUAGCCAAUGGGGGCAGGGCUAGCAGCAAGGCUCCGCCUUCACCCCACCUUCACUGUGCCAUAUAUGGAACGUGUGGGUGGAGCUGAGGGGGCGUAGUUAGCCAAUGGGGGCAGGGCUAGCAGCAAGGCUCCGCCUUCACCCCACCUCCACUGUGCCAUAUAUGGAUCUUGGGGGUGGAGCUAAGGGAGGCAUCAUUGGCCAAUGGGGGCGGGGCUAGAAGCAAGUCUCCUUCUCCAUUUCCCCCACUGUGCCAUAUAUGGAACGUGUGGGCGGAGCUAAGGUAGGCGUUGUUAGCCAAUGGGGGCGGGGCUAGCAGCAAGGCUCCGCCUUCACCCCACCUUCACUGUGCCAUAUAUGGAGCGUGGGGGUGGGGCUAAGGGAAGUGGGCGGGGCCUGGGGAUCUGGUUAGCCAAUGGGGGCAGGGCUAGCAGCAAGGCUUCGCCUUCAUCCCACUCAACUGUGCCGUAUAUGGAGCAUGUGGGUGGAGCUGAGGGGGCGUGGUUAGCCAAUGGGGGCGGGGCUAGAAGCAAGUCUCCACCUUCAUUUCCCCCACUGUGCCAUAUAUGGAACAUGGGGGUGGGGUUAAGGGAAGUGGACAAGGCCUGGGGGCGUGGUUAGCCAAUGGGGGCAGGGCUAGCAGCAAGGCUCCGCCUCCAUUUCCUCCACUGUGCCAUAUAUGGAACGUGUGGGCGGAGCUAAGGGAGGCGUGGUUGGCCAAUGGGGGCGGGGCUAGCAGCCAGGUUCCACGUCCUGAGCUGUCCCCAUAUCCCCAGGGCUGUCCCCAUAUCCUUUUGGUUGGGUCCCCAGGGCUGUCCCCAUGUCCCCUCAGUGUCCCCAAGGCUGUCCCCAUGUCCUUUGGCUGUCCCCUGGAUGUCCCCGUGUCCCCUCAGUGUCCCCAGGGCUCUCCCCAUAUCCCCAGGCUGUUCCCAUGUCCCCUUGGUGGUGUCCCCAGGGCUGUCCCCAUGUCAUAGGGCUGACCCCAUGUCCCCUGAGUGUCCCCACGUCCCCAGGGCUGUCAGCCAUGUCAUAGGGCUGUCAGCCAUGUCCUUUGGCUGUCCCCAUAUUCUCUUGGUGUCCCCAUGUCCCCAUAUCCCCAGGCUCUCCCCAUGUCCCCUUGGUGUCCCCUGGCUGUCCCCAUAUCCUCUGGCUGUCCCCAUGUCCCCAGGGCUGUCCCUAUGUCUCCUGGCUUUCCCCAUGCUCCCUUCCCCCUUGGUGUCCCCUUGGUGUCCCCUGCCUGUCCCCGUGUCCCCAUAUCCCCUGGCUGUCCUCAUGUCCCCUUGGUGUCCCCUGGCUGUCCCCAUACCCCGUGGCUGUCCCCAUACCCCCUUAGUGUCCCCUGCCUGUCCCCAUGUCCCCACAUCCCCUGGCUGUCCCCAUGUCCCCUUGAU